CAGCAGCCGCGGUAAUACGAAGGGUGCAAGCGUUACUCGGAAUUACUGGGCGUAAAGCGUGCGUAGGUGGUGGUUUAAGUCCGUUGUGAAAGCCCUGGGCUCAACCUGGGAAUUGCAGUGGAUACUGGGUCACUAGAGUGUGGUAGAGGAUAGUGGAAUUUCCGGUGUAGCAGUGAAAUGCGUAGAGAUCGGAAGGAACACCUGUGGCGAAAGCGGCUCACUGGACCAUAACUGACGCUGAUGCACGAAAGCUAGGGGAGCAAACAGAAUUAGAUACCCGCGUAGUCCCUGUCUCUUAUAC
RNAcentral lists this ribosomal RNA (301 nucleotides) under uncultured bacterium. Its description in RNAcentral is "partial 16S ribosomal RNA". It matches the Rfam family "Bacterial small subunit ribosomal RNA", at positions 509 to 807 of the family's 1533-position model. The record is from RNAcentral.